RNAcentral lists this microRNA precursor (109 nucleotides) under Mytilus galloprovincialis (Mediterranean mussel). Lineage: Eukaryota; Metazoa; Mollusca; Bivalvia; Mytilida; Mytilidae. The record is from RNAcentral.
ACUGGCUGUUUCUGUAUUGGCACUGGUAUAGUUUCAAGGUAAACUAUGGGUCUCGAGGCCAAUACAGCAAACCUUGAAUUAUACCAGUGCCAAUACAGAAACAACCAGU